This 640-nucleotide ribosomal RNA is filed under the name uncultured fungus. Its description in RNAcentral is "eukaryotic LSU rRNA". The stretch from base 186 to 339 matches the Rfam family "5.8S ribosomal RNA". Lineage: Eukaryota; Fungi. The record is from RNAcentral.
CCGUAGGUGAACCUGCGGAAGGAUCAUUCACAAACGAGUGUUUUAUGGCACUCUUUAAAAAUCCAUAUCCACCUUGUGUGCAAUGUUUGUUGGGAAAGUCUUUUCUUUCCCUUCAUAAAUAUCAACCUAUAUCUUUAACAACAUUCGUCUGAUAACAUAUUAUGAAUAUACUUAAUUCAAAAUAUAACUUUCAACAACGGAUCUCUUGGCUCUCGCAUCGAUGAAGAACGCAGCGAAAUGCGAUACGUAAUGUGAAUUGCAGAAUUCAGUGAAUCAUCGAAUCUUUGAACGCAUAUUGCGCUCUUUGGUAUUCCGAAGAGCAUGCUUGUUUGAGUAUCAGUAAACACCUCAACCUCUCUUUUUGACAAAAAAAGAGAGGGUGGACUUGAGCUAUCCCAACGACCUUCACCGGUAGGCGGGCGGCUUGAAAUGCAGGUGCAGCUGGACUUUUAUCUGAGCUAAAAGCAUAUCUAUUUAGUCCUCGUCAAACAGGAUUAUUACUUUUGCUGCAGCUAACAUAAAGGAUAAUUGUCCUCUUUGCUGACUGAUGCAGGAUUUUACGACACUUUAUGUGUUGUUCAACUCGAUCUCAAAUCAAGUAAGACUACCCGCUGAACUUAAGCAUAUCAAUAAGCGGAGG